This 430-nucleotide ribosomal RNA is filed under the name uncultured bacterium. Its description in RNAcentral is "bacterial SSU rRNA". It matches the Rfam family "Bacterial small subunit ribosomal RNA", at positions 28 to 444 of the family's 1533-position model. The record is from RNAcentral.
GACGAACGCUGGCGGCGUGCCUAAUACAUGCAAGUAGAACGCUGACUACUUUAGCUUGCUAGAGUAGAAGGAGUUGCGAACGGGUGAGUAACGCGUAGGUAACCUGCCUACUAGCGGGGGAUAACUAUUGGAAACGAUAGCUAAUACCGCAUAACAGUGUUUAACACAUGUUAGAUGCUUGAAAGAUGCAAUUGCAUCACUAGUAGAUGGACCUGCGUUGUAUUAGCUAGUUGGUGGGGUAACGGCCCACCAAGGCGACGAUACAUAGCCGACCUGAGAGGGUGAUCGGGCCACACUGGGACUGGGACACGGCCCAGACUCCUACGGGAGGCAGCAGUAGGGAAUCUUCGGGCAAUGGGGGCAACCCUGACCCCAGCAACGCCGCGUGAGUGAAGAAGUAUUUCGGGUAUGUAAAGCUCUAUCAGCAGGG